CCGACAUCAACGCAAAAGCAUUAAGCCCGACUCCGGAGUGGCACUCGUGGGCGCUACCCAACCGAGUAUGCAAGCGUGUCUCUGUCGAGCUCAAUCAGGCUCUCACAGGCUAUAGUCAAGUAAACAGGGUCUAACAACCAAACUCACGUGCCCCAGCACAAUCUGAUGCAAAAACAGCAUUCCGGGUCCACCGUCAACCUCAACGGCACCCAACAAUCCGGAACAGCCUAAUACUGCUAUAAAAAUAAGCUCAGCAUCUCAGCACGAGCGUGAAUGCAUUCUACACUAAUCAGGGUAUCCACUGCCCACAAACUGCGGUGAUACAAACAAACUACGGCUCCUAAAGCUAAAUCUAUUAGUUUUAACAUAUGACGGUAUAGAAUCACUACUUUUCUCCUAU
This 400-nucleotide long non-coding RNA is filed under the name Ananas comosus (pineapple). RNAcentral's name for it is "long non-coding RNA (ACOM_LNC009111)". The record is from RNAcentral. Lineage: Eukaryota; Viridiplantae; Streptophyta; Magnoliopsida; Poales; Bromeliaceae.